AAAGUAAAAAUUUUAAAGUAAAUAAUUAAAAAAUUGCAAAGGAAGGCAAAGCAGGUGGUUCUGCCUGGUCGGGGGUCCCGGAAGGUGUCUGAGAGUUACAGCGAGGACCUCUGGUCGGGGGUCCCGGAAGGUGUCUGAGAGUUACAGCGAGGACCUCUGGUCGGGGGUCCCGGAAGGUGUCUGAGGACGGUUGCGUUUCCCCGCUCAGAAGUUGAGGAAGCAUCAUGAGAAGUGAACUGAAGAAGUGAGAUGGCAUUGGAAACACUGCUCAGGAGCUCUGUAUUAUUUCAGCCCCAGAAGGAGCGUGGGAGUAAACCAAUGGCAGGAAACGGAUGGAUGUAUAAAAUGCGUCGCGUCUUGCAUUCUGGCACCGAUAGAGAAUAUAAAAACGUAAAAGAGACAGCAACACAGCACAGAGGUUUGCGACCACAGUCUGAGGGCUGUGCCAGGGGAGGAUGGCGUCACUUCCAUGUCAUGGAAGCAUAAUUCCUGCUGGUCUCUUCUCCUGCCUGACCAUUAUGCAAACGAGUUGCAUCCAGCCCUUCAGGCAGCAGUGGCCUCCUCGCUUUCCUGAGGGCUAUUGUCAGAUUGGCUGACACUGGCUUUUCUCUCCCAUGUGUCCCCCCAGGAGCUGAGUCAGUCCACACCAGCCCAUAGCACCCUCUGAGCGGCUUGAAUGUUCACACAAGCAGUUGGCGGCAAAAGAAUUUUGUCCCUGUGUUUUCCUGUAAUCUUUUGACCCUUCCUUGUUUUCAAGCCAGAAUGUGGGCAUCUAUCGACUCAGAGAAUAAACAUGUGUCUUUCUGAGUCAAGCUCAAAUGGAUCAAACCUGCAGGUAAUAAAGUGUUCUCAAGCAAAGUUAAUGGUUUCAUCGAACACACCAUUAUCCGGGAACAAGAUUUCCCACCACAGAGGGUCCGUUGGUGGAUCAAGAGCAGCAGGCUGUGCUGACUGUUACCGAGGACAUCCAGAACAUCGGCUGCCAGUUUGUUUCGGAUGAGGACAACAGAAACCUCGGUGACCAGGGUGACUGUCCCUGGUCGCAGGCAGAGCCUGAGGAGGCUUCGAGAUGCCCGAAGUAGCUAG
Non-coding RNA from Peromyscus maniculatus bairdii (prairie deer mouse), 1086 nucleotides. The record is from RefSeq and is a predicted model, not a curated record. Lineage: Eukaryota; Metazoa; Chordata; Mammalia; Rodentia; Cricetidae.